UGGGGAAGAUAAAUGAAAGAAAUGAAACUAAAAAGGAAAAGAAAUGCUAGACUAAAAUAUGUUUAAAGAAAGAAAAUAAGAAAAUGGAAUGCAAAAGAGAAAUUAAAAUAACUAUGACCUAGAUUAAAGUACAGACGAGCUAGAAUCUAAUUAUACCUAAAACAGGACCUCAAAUGGAUGUAUUAUGCAAAAGAAAACAAAAGAUUGAAUCUGAAAAAUAAAACCAAAGCAUCCUAAUUACUUAAAUGAAUAAAAUCGGUAAUGAAUAACCAAAAGAAUCAAAUCCAACACUAGUACAAAAAUCAUAUUUUAUGACAUACAAAAACGAACUAUGACGUACAUAGUUUUGUACGUUAUAAUAGGUCUACAUAUUUUAUGACGUAGCAAAAAUUUACCUUAUCUGAACAUAUUAUGACACUGUUUCUAAAAGAAAUAAUUCU
Molecule: long non-coding RNA, 440 nt
Filed under: Vigna radiata
Lineage: Eukaryota; Viridiplantae; Streptophyta; Magnoliopsida; Fabales; Fabaceae
Description: long non-coding RNA (VRAD_LNC004567)
Source: RNAcentral